AGUGCAAUUGCUGGGUAUGGUAAUUACAUAUUUAGCUGUAUAUGAAACUGCCAAGCUGUUUUCCAGAGUGACCGUAACAUAUCUCAUUCCCUCCAGCAAU
This 100-nucleotide microRNA precursor is filed under the name Marmota monax (woodchuck). Lineage: Eukaryota; Metazoa; Chordata; Mammalia; Rodentia; Sciuridae. The record is from RNAcentral.